UUAUGACUUGUUUUACAGG
This 19-nucleotide unclassified non-coding RNA is filed under the name Mus musculus (house mouse). RNAcentral's name for it is "oocyte_clustered_small_RNA13010". Lineage: Eukaryota; Metazoa; Chordata; Mammalia; Rodentia; Muridae. The record is from RNAcentral.